UCAAGCGAACAAGAGCGCAAGGGGAAUGCCUUGGCAUCAGGAGCCGAUGAAGGACGUGAUAAGCUGCGAAAAGCUUCGGGGAGCUGCAAAUAAGCAUUGAUCCGGAGAUGUCCGAAUGGGGAAACCCACCUGAGGAAACCUCAGGUAACGCAUGGUGAAUCAAAUAGCCAUGCGUGGGGAACCGCCUGAACUGAAACAUCUAAGUAGGGCGAGGAAAAGUAAUCAACCGAGAUUCCGAAAGUAGUGGCGAGCGAAAUCGGAAGAGGCCAAACCGUACGUAGCAAUAUGUGCGGGGUUGUGGACGGCAAUGUCGGUAAGCUUCGUUAGACGAAUGGUCUGGGAAGGCCAGUCAAAGAGUGUGAGAGCCACGUAGUCGAAAAUGAAGUGAACGUAGCCGGAUCCAGAGUACCGCGGGGCACGAGGAAUCCCGUGGGAAGCCGGGGGGACCACCCUCCAAGCCAAAAUACUACCUGAUGACCGAUAGAGGAGCAGUACCGUGAGGGAAAGGUGAAAAGCACCCCGGGAGGGGAGUGAAACAGUACCUGAAACCUUGUGCUUACAAGCAGACAUAGCCCGUUAAAGGGUGGUGUCGUACUUUUUGUAGAACGGUCCGGCGAGUUAUAGUAACUGGCGAGCUUAAGGUAUUCAGUACCGGAGGCGAAGGGAAACCGAGUGUGAAGAGCGCGUGAAGUCAGUUGCCAUAGACCCGAAACCAGGUGACCUAGCCAUGUCCAGGAUGAAGUGGAGGUAAAGCUCCAUGGAGGUCCGAACCCACGUACGUUGCAAUGUCCGGGGAUGAGGUGUGGCUAGCGGUGAAAUUCCAAACGAACUUGGAGAUAGCUGGUUCUCCCCGAAAUAGCUUUAGGGCUAGCGUAGGUAAUGAGUUUCACGGAGGUAAAGCACUGUCUGAGCUAGGGGGCGAUAAGCUUACUGAACUCUAACAAACUAAGAAUGCCGUAGAAAUGCUUACCUGCAGUCAGACUGCGAGUAAUAAAAUCCGUGGUCAAAAGGGAAACAGCCCAGACCCACAGCUAAGGUCCCAAAUAUACGCUAAGUGGAAAACGAUGUGAGAUUGCAUAAACAACCAGGAUGUUGGCUUAGAGGCAGCCACUCGUUCAAAGAGUGCGUAAUAGCUCACUGGUCGAGUGAUCUUGCGCGGAAAAUUUAACGGGGCUAAGCGUAUAACCGAAGCUUGGGAAUGUCGAAAGACAUUGGUAGGGGAGCGUCGUGUAUGGGGUGAAGUCGCAUCGGAAGGAGCGGUGGACUGUACACGAGUGAGAAUGCCGGAAUGAGUAGCGAGAAUUAUGUGGGAAUCAUAAUGGCCGAAAAUCUAAGGUUUCCUGGGGAAGGUUCGUCCGCCCAGGGUAAGCCGGGAGCUAAGGCGAGGCCGCGAGGCGUAGUCGAUGCACAUACGGUAGAAAUUCCGUAGCCACCUCACACUAGAAAGCUGACACAUGGAGAUAGUCGAACCCGGCCGUUGGUUGCGCCGGGCGAAAGGGACCGAACUUAUAGUAGGGAAGUCGAUGAUGCUCUGUGGCGAGAAAAGGCGAAGUGAGGUGCCCGUACCGCAAACCGACACAGGUAGAUGAGGAGAGAAUCCUAAGGCCAACGGGAGAAGGGUUGUUAAGGAACUCGGCAAAUUGGUCCCGUAACUUCGGGAGAAGGGACGCCCUCGAAAGAGGGUCGCAGUGAAUAGGCCCAAGCAACUGUUUACCAAAAACACAGGUCUCUGCUAAAUCGAAAGAUGACGUAUAGGGGCUGACGCCUGCCCGGUGCCGGAAGGUUAAGAGGAGGGCUUAGUGGCAACACGAAGGCUUGAAUUUAAGCCCCGGUAAACGGCGGCCGUAACUAUAACGGUCCUAAGGUAGCGAAAUUCCUUGUCAGGUAAGUUCUGACCCGCACGAAAGGCGUAAUGAUUUGGGCACUGUCUCAACAGCCCGCCCGGCGAAAUUGUAGUACCGGUGAAGAUGCCGGUUACCCGCAACUAGACGGAAAGACCCCAUGGAGCUUUACUGCAGCUUAAUACUGAGAUUCGGUAAAUCAUGUACAGGAUAGGUGGGAGACUUGGAAACACGGCCGUCAGGUCGUGCGGAGUCAUCCUUGGGAUACCACCCUUGGUUUGCUGG
Molecule: ribosomal RNA, 2126 nt
Filed under: gut metagenome
Description: bacterial LSU rRNA
Rfam family: Bacterial large subunit ribosomal RNA
Source: RNAcentral